RNAcentral lists this ribosomal RNA (3159 nucleotides) under Durio zibethinus. RNAcentral's name for it is "eukaryotic LSU rRNA". It matches the Rfam family "Eukaryotic large subunit ribosomal RNA". The record is from RNAcentral. Lineage: Eukaryota; Viridiplantae; Streptophyta; Magnoliopsida; Malvales; Malvaceae.
AACCUCAGGUCAGGCGAGAUUACCCAUUGAAUUUAAGCAUAUUAAUAAGCAAAGGAAAAUAAACUUGCUAAGAUUCCCUUAGUAAUAGUGAGCAAAUUGGAAAGAGCCCAUCUUGAGAAUCGAGCUCCCCUGGUAUUUGAAUUAUAGUAUGGAGAAGUGUCCUCAAUGAUGGAAUGGGACAAAGUCCCCUGGAAAAGGGUACUAGAAAGGGUGAGAGCCCCAUUAUGCUUGGACCCUGUCAUACCAUAAGGCAUGGUCUAUAAGUCAAGUUGUUUGGGAGUAAAGCCCUAAUCAAGUAAUAAAUUCUAUCCAAGGCUAAAUAUGAGUGAGAAACUGAUAGUGAAAAAGUACCAUGAGGGAAAGAUGAAAAGGACUUUGAAAAGAGAGUCAAAGAGUGCUUGAAAUUGUUAAAAAGUAAGCAGAUCGGGGCCGAUGAUGCAUCCUGAUUGGAUGUUAAAUGGUGAAAGCUAGUCCACCAGUUGGCUUUGGUCGUGGAUAGAUAUAGGUUGUAGUGGAGUCCCAAGCUUAGGCUUUUGAUAUGCCCAUAAAGGCAUCAUUGCCAUGAUCAUAGAAUGUAGCAUGUACAGUCUAGGCAUGCCUUAGCACCUGUGUAAUCUUGGUGCCAGCCUAUGGGCUUUCCAUCCGACCCAUCUUAAAACAUGGGCCAAGGAGUCUGACAUGUGUUUUAGUCAAUGGGCUAGGAAACCCAUUAGGCAUAAAGAAGUUGAUUGGCAAGAUCUUUCAUGGGUGCAUCACUGACCUACCUUGAUUUUCUAAGAAGAAGGGUUUGAAUGCAAGCAUGAUUGUUAGGACCUAAAAGAUGGUGAACUAUGCCUGAGAAGGGUAAAACCAGAGGAAACUUUGGUGGAGGCUCACAGCGAUACUGACAUGUAAAUCAUUCAUCUGACUUGGGUAUUAGGGUGAAAGACUAAUCAAACCAUCUAGUAAUUGGUUGCUUCUAAAGUUUCCUUCAAGAUAGCUAGAGCCCUUAGCGAGUUCUAUUAGGUAAAGCCAAUCAUUAAAGGCAUCAAAGGUGCAACACUCUCAAACUAUUUUCAAACUUUAAAUAAGUAGGAUGACACAGCUACUUUAUUAAGCCGUGCCACUUAAUCGAGAGCUCCAAGUGGGCCAUUUUUGGUAAGUAAAACUAGUGAUGCAGGAUGAAUCGAAAGCCAAGUUAUGGUGCCCAACUACGCGCUAACCUAAAACCCACAAAGGGUGUUGGUCGAUUAAGACAGUAAGAUGGUGGUCAUGAAAGUUGAAAUCUGCUAAGAAAUGUAUAACAAUUAAUGUGUCAAAUCAACUGGCCUUGAAAAUGGAUGGCACUUAAGUGGUGACCCAUACUGGAGAGUCAGGGCAAGGGCCAAGCCCUGAUGAGUAAGAGGGCAUAACGAUCAUCGUAAAAUCCAAGACAUGAGCCUAAGCAAAGCAGCUAUUAAUGUAGAUUUUGAUGGUAGUAGUAAAUAUUCAAAUAAGAACUUUGAAGGUCGAAAAGGGGAAAAGGUUCCAUGUGAACGGCACUUGCACAUGGGCUAGUCAAUCCUAAGAGAUAGGGGAAGACUAUCUGACAGUACGUCUAGCAUGAGCUUUUAGAUGGAAUCAGGUUAAAAUUUUUAAACCGAGAUGCAACAGCUUACGACAAUAUUAAAGAGUUCAAAGAUGUUGGUGAGGGCCUUGGAAAGAGUUAUCUUGUCUAUUUAAUGACCUACCCAUCUAAGAAAUGACUUAGCCGAAGGUAGGGUCCAGUGGCUAGAAGAGUAUCGGGUGUCACUUGAUGUUCGGUACACCCUCAUUGGCCUUUGAAAAUUUAGAGGAUCAAGGGCCAUUCACACCCAGUUAUAUUCAGAGCCACAUCAAGUCUCCAAGGUGAGCAGCCUCUAGUUGAUGGAACAAUGUAGGCAAAAGUAGUUAGCAAAAUGGAUUUCUAACCUCGAUAAAAGGAUUGGCUUUAAAGGCUAGGCACAUGGGUCCCAGUCUUGAACCCAUUGGUUACUGGUGAACUAUUCGAGCUUCUUCUACAAUAAGAAUGGGUCAUUGUAUGCUGAUUGAGGGAUGGAUUGGGAAUAGCUCCCUCGGGAGCUUUCCUCGAGUGACAAACAGUUAACUCAAAACUAUUAUGAAUAAGAGGAAUCCAACUAUUUAAUUAAAACAAAGCAUUGUGAUGAUCCCUAUGGAUGCUCAUGCAAUGUGAUUUCUACCCAGUGCUAUAAAUGUCAAAUUGAAUAAAUUCAACCAAGCAUGAGUAAAUGGCAAGAGUAACUAUGACUCUCUGAACCUAGCCAAAUGCCUUAUCAUCUUAAUAGUGACACGCAUGAAUGGAUUAAUGAGAUUCCUAUUGUCCUUGUCUACUAUCCAGUGAAACCACUCCAAGGCAAUAGGCUUAGUAGAAUUAGUGAUGAAAGAAGACCUUGUUGAGCUUAACUUUAGUCUAACUUUGUGAAAUGACUUGAGAGGUGUAGGAUAAGUGGGAGCCCUUAGGUGAAAAUGAAAUAUCACUACUUUUAAUGUUAUUUUACUUAUUCCAUGAAUUAGAGGCAGUUCACGACCCUUUCUUUUGGACUCAAGGCUAGCUACAAUCUAUCAAUUUAGGUGGAAGACAUUGUCAGGUGGGGAGUUUGGCUAAGGUAACACAUCUAUUAAAAGAUAACACAAGUGUCCUAAGAUGAGCUCAAUAAGAGCAGAAAUCUCAUGUGCAAUAAAGGGUAAAAGCUCAUUUGAUUCUAAUUUCCAGUAUGAAUACAAAUAGUAAAAUCAUGGCCUAUUGAUCUUGUAGACCUUUAGAAUUUAAAGCUAAAGAGUCAAAAAAGUUACCACAAGGAUAAUUGGCUUGUGGCAGACAGGCAUUCAUAACAAUGUUGCUUUUUUAUCCUUCGAUAUUGGCUCUUCCUAUCAUUGUUAAGCAGAAUUCACCAAGUUUGGAUUGUUCACCUACCAAUAAGGAAUGUGAGUUGGGUCUAGACCAUCGUGAGACAGGUCAGUUUACCUUACUGAUGGUAGCAUCGUAAUAAUAAUUCAACCUAGUAUGAGAGGAAUAAUUAAUUCAGCCAAUUGGUCAUCACACAUGGUUGAAAAACCAGUGGCAUGAAGCUACCAUGUGUUAGAUUGUGAUUAAAUACCUUUAAGUUAGAAUUUGGGCUAGAAGUGACACACAUGUCUUUU